This 1480-nucleotide ribosomal RNA is filed under the name Luteolibacter sp. Its description in RNAcentral is "bacterial SSU rRNA". It matches the Rfam family "Bacterial small subunit ribosomal RNA". Lineage: Bacteria; Pseudomonadati; Verrucomicrobiota; Verrucomicrobiia; Verrucomicrobiales; Verrucomicrobiaceae. The record is from RNAcentral.
AGAGUUUGAUCCUGGCUCAGAACGAACGCUGGCGGCGUGUUUAAGACAUGCAAGUCGAACGGAGUGAAGUUGUAGCAAUACCGCUUCAUUCAGUGGCGCACGGGUGCGUAACACGUGAGUUACAUGCCCUGUAGUGGGGAAUAGCCCGCCGAAAGGCGGAUUAAUACCCCAUGGUCCCGCAAGGGUAAAGGUGGCGCAAGCUGCCGCUACAGGAUUGGCUCGCGGCCUAUCAGCUUGUUGGUGAGGUAACGGCUCACCAAGGCAACGACGGGUACCUGGUCUGAGAGGAUGAUCAGGCACACUGGAACUGAGACACGGUCCAGACACCUACGGGUGGCAGCAGUCGAGAAUAAUUCACAAUGGACGAAAGUCUGAUGGUGCAACGCCGCGUGGAGGAUGAAGGUCUUCGGAUUGUAAACUCCUGUCAUCGGGGAGUAAGACCUGGCGGUAAAUAGCCGACAGGGUUGAUAGUACCCGAAGAGGAAGGGACGGCUAACUUCGUGCCAGCAGCCGCGGUAAUACGAAGGUCCCAAGCGUUGUUCGGAAUCACUGGGCGUAAAGGGAGCGUAGGCGGCGUGGUAAGUCAGAUGUGAAAUCCCGGGGCUCAACCCCGGAACUGCAUCCGAUACUGCCAUGCUUGAGGGUUGGAGAGGUAGCUGGAAUUCUCGGUGUAGCAGUGAAAUGCGUGGAUAUCGAGAGGAACACUCGUGGCGAAGGCGAGCUACUGGACAACAUCUGACGCUGAGGCUCGAAGGCCAGGGGAGCAAAAGGGAUUAGAUACCCCUGUAGUCCUGGCAGUAAACGGUGUGCGCUUGGUGUGAGGGGAUUCGACCCCCCCUUGUGCCGGAGCUAACGCGUUAAGCGCACCGCCUGGGAAGUACGGCCGCAAGGCUAAAACUCAAAGAAAUUGACGGGGACCCGCACAAGCGGUGGAGUAUGUGGCUUAAUUCGAUGCAACGCGAAGAACCUUACCAAGGCUUGACAUGGAUUUCUAAGCACGUGAAAGCGUGUGACCCUUCGGGGGACUUCCACAGGUGCUGCAUGGCCGUCGUCAGCUCGUGUCGUGAGAUGUUGGGUUAAGUCCCGCAACGAGCGCAACCCCUGUGAUUAGUUGCCAGCACGUGAUGGUGGGGACUCUAAUCAGACUGCCCAGAUCAACUGGGAGGAAGGUGGGGACGACGUCAGGUCAGUAUGGCCCUUACGCCUUGGGCUGCACACGUACUACAAUGCCCAGUACAAUGAGAACCGAGACCGCGAGGUGGAGGAAAUCUACAAAACUGGGCCCAGUUCGGAUUGGAGGCUGCAACUCGCCUCCAUGAAGCCGGAAUCGCUAGUAAUGCUGCAUCAGCUACGGCAGCGUGAAUACGUUCCCGGGUCUUGUACACACCGCCCGUCACAUCAUGGAAGCCGGUAGCACCCGAAGUAUCGUACGAUCCUAAGGUGAAGCUGGUAACUGGGAUGAAGUCGUAACAAGGUAACC